GAUGAACGCUAGCGGGAGGCCUAACACAUGCAAGCCGAGCGGUAGAGUUCCUUCGGGAACUUGAGAGCGGCGUACGGGUGCGUAACACGUGUGCAACCUACCUCUAUCUGGGGGAUAGCCUUUCGAAAGGAAGAUUAAUACCCCAUAAUAUAUUGAAUGGCAUCAUUUAAUAUUGAAAACUCUGGUGGAUAGAGAUGGGCACGCGCAAGAUUAGAUAGUUGGUGAGGUAACGGCUCACCAAGUCUGUGAUCUUUAGGGGUCCUGAGAGGGAGAUCCCCCACACUGGUACUGAGACACGGACCAGACUCCUACGGGAGGCAGCAGUGAGGAAUAUUGGACAAUGGGUGAGAGCCUGAUCCAGCCAUCCCGCGUGAAGGAUGACGGUCCUAUGGAUUGUAAACUUCUUUUGUACAGGAAUAAACCUAUUUACGUGUAAAUAGCUGAAGGUACUGUACGAAUAAGCACCGGCUAACUCCGUGCCAGCAGCCGCGGUAA
Molecule: ribosomal RNA, 495 nt
Filed under: uncultured bacterium
Lineage: Bacteria
Description: partial 16S ribosomal RNA
Rfam family: Bacterial small subunit ribosomal RNA
Source: RNAcentral